GAUUGAACGCUGGCGGCAUGCCUAACACAUGCAAGUCGAACGGGAGUAGCAAUACUCUAGUGGCGGACGGGUGAGGAAUACGUAGGAAUUUGCCCUUAAGUGGGGGAUAACCCGGGGAAACCCGGAUUAAUACCGCAUGAUCUCGAAAGAGCAAAGUGGGGGAUCGCAAGACCUCACGCUUUUGGAGAAGCCUACGUCGGAUUAGCUAGUUGGUGAGGUAAUGGCUCACCAAGGCGACGAUCCGUAACUGGUCUGAGAGGAUGAUCAGUCACACCGGAACUGAGACACGGUCCGGACUCCUACGGGAGGCAGCAGUGGGGAAUAUUGGACAAUGGGCGAAAGCCUGAUCCAGCAAUGCCGCGUGUGUGAAGAAGGCCUUCGGGUUGUAAAGCACUUUAAGUUGGGAAGAAAAAAUUCCACCUAAUACGUGGAGUCUUGACGGUACCGACAGAAUAAGCA
Molecule: ribosomal RNA, 459 nt
Filed under: uncultured rape rhizosphere bacterium wr0102
Lineage: Bacteria
Description: bacterial SSU rRNA
Rfam family: Bacterial small subunit ribosomal RNA
Source: RNAcentral